GGGAGCGGCUGAGCCGGCUGGAGACGCUCAGCGCUGCCCAGGAGGAUGCGGCUGGGACAGACCCAGGCCCAGAACUUGCUCCACAGGCGAUGUCACCGUGGCACCUGACCGUGUCCCCGCGAACGCUGCUCUUCCUGGCCACCUGGCCCUUCGUCACCCAGUGGCUGCUGCGCCACUGGCAGGGCAGGAAGAGGUGACCCUCCGUCCCCCGCCACCGCCACCCCUCCUUGCCCAUCCUGCUUCGCACGAGCCGGGGAAGCGUCACGGAGCCACGCGGGAAUCGCCUCAC
Non-coding RNA from Sturnus vulgaris (Common starling), 289 nucleotides. The record is from RefSeq and is a predicted model, not a curated record. NCBI's taxonomy places the organism in Eukaryota, Metazoa, Chordata, Aves, Passeriformes, Sturnidae.